CAGCCGCCACGGGAAUACGUAGGUGGCAAGCGUUGCCCGGAAUUAUUGGGCGUAAAGGGCUCGCAGGCGGUUUCUUAAGUCUGAUGUGAAAGCCCCCGGCUCAACCGGGGAGGGUCAUUGGAAACUGGGAAACUUGAGUGCAGAAGAGGAGAGUGGAAUUCCACGUGUAGCGGUGAAAUGCGUAGAGAUGUGGAGGAACACCAGUGGCGAAGGCGACUCUCUGGUCUGUAACUGACGCUGAGGCACGAAAGCGUGGGGAGCAAACAGGAUUAGAUACCCCCGUAGUCCCUGUCUCUUAUAC
RNAcentral lists this ribosomal RNA (301 nucleotides) under uncultured bacterium. RNAcentral's name for it is "partial 16S ribosomal RNA". It matches the Rfam family "Bacterial small subunit ribosomal RNA", at positions 509 to 807 of the family's 1533-position model. The record is from RNAcentral.